AGGGGUAUAGCUCAGUGGCAGGGCACGUGCUUAGCAUGCACGAGGUCCUGGGUUCAAUCUCGAGUACCUCCA
RNAcentral lists this transfer RNA (72 nucleotides) under Camelus bactrianus (Bactrian camel). It matches the Rfam family "tRNA". Rfam says of the family: Transfer RNA (tRNA) molecules are approximately 80 nucleotides in length. Their secondary structure includes four short double-helical elements and three loops (D, anti-codon, and T loops). Lineage: Eukaryota; Metazoa; Chordata; Mammalia; Artiodactyla; Camelidae. RNAcentral also lists the same sequence under 2 other names. The record is from Rfam by way of RNAcentral.